UAUUCCACAUAUCCAAAGUAAGUAAGCGACAUAAUUUACUGCACUUAUUUUACUAAUGGAAUUUAUAUGGGCGAUAAGUUACUUGGCAAAGCUGAUAAAACAAAUAGAUCGGAAGAGAAC
Molecule: non-coding RNA, 120 nt
Organism: Vicugna pacos (alpaca)
Lineage: Eukaryota; Metazoa; Chordata; Mammalia; Artiodactyla; Camelidae
Source: RefSeq, a predicted model, not a curated record